Molecule: long non-coding RNA, 1214 nt
Filed under: Eptatretus burgeri (inshore hagfish)
Lineage: Eukaryota; Metazoa; Chordata; Myxini; Myxiniformes; Myxinidae
Description: lncRNA (ENSEBUG00000017528.1)
Source: RNAcentral
CAGUGAAAUACACUAUGGUUACAAACGGUACUAUAUACUACUUUUAACCUUUAUCUUCACAUAUUUCAAUUUGUCCAAUGUUGGAAUAACAAAGAUUGUUUGGCGAAUGGUUGAUUUUGGAAAAUUAUACAAUAUAACUACUGUGAAAUGACAUAUAAUGGUUGAGGAAAACUCGUUAACGAUGGGUUGUCUCACAAGGCCUGGAGGGACAUUUCAGAUUACUGGAACAAACUAAGAUCCCAUCAUGACAUUUGCUGUGAGGCAUUGAGCAUGCCUCACCAUAAUAUCCUCUGCAACACGUUGACAAGGCCUCAUGUCAUCUGUGACCCAUUGAUCAGACCCCAAUGUGCUGUUCUUUGCAGCAAUGACCAGACACCUCUAUGAUGCCCGCUGCGAGACAUUGAGCAGCUGCCAUUUAACUGGUGUGAAAUAAUUACCAGCAAAGCAUCCACAAAGUGAAUUCCUCCAAAGAGACGUGCCUUGCGAUCAAAUGGGUGCAUGAUGAGGGUAUAUGAGAGGAUAUUUUAAUAGAAAUGCAAUUCUGGAAAUCAAAAUGUGCUUCAGGGCAACAGAGAAGCAGCUGAGCAGCCAUAUGUGAUCUGCGACCGUGCAGAAACCAUGCAUCACACCACAGAGACGAAGAAUCGCACCAAGAAUCUUGGAGUAAUAUCAGAGUGAUGCAUUGAAGCAUUUGAGUGUCUGCAAAUGUGCUAUAAACAGAGGGAUGCAUCCAUGCAGAGUGAUCGGAUGGACAUUAAGCCGGAGGACCCAUCUGCCGGCACUGAUCGUUGGCGGAUGUUAAAGAUUGCACAAUGUUCUUCGCAAAGAAUAGGGGCCACUGCUGAGGGCCCCCAGGUACAGAGCUGGUCCCUUUUCAUUUCUCAAGAAGACUUCACCAUUCUUUUUCUUCGACAAAGUCAAGUUGUAUACUUUGACUACUUUUGCUGGCUGAGCAGGCAGUUUACAAGCAAUAACUUCACAUAAUAAUCAAGUAAAUGAAUUUUUUUUUCUGAAACAGUUAACAGCUGAAGGCACAACAUUGCCAUUUGUCCUCAUUGUUAACCCGUAUACACUCUGAUUAUGUACCCCAUGACAAACAUCUGAGAAACUCAGCCUGCUUUGAGUUGCAUCACCCCGACAUUUACAACACCAGAAGGGAUUUUGAAAGGAUUCAUGGAACGGGAAAUGUACUGUAGUAGUCAUUGUGCUGUCUC